GAAAAACAUAAUGGAAGUCUAAGUCUCAAAGUCGUCAUCUUAGACAUACGAAUAAAUUAGGACACGGACCAUAAUUCAUCACAUAGAAUAUAGCUAAGUCUAUUACAAUACUUUCAAUAAGGAAAUCUAAACAUCAAGACGUCCUCAAAUCUAGUGACGACAUACCAACUCUUUACUUGAAUGAAUCACUAAUCCAAGCUUCCACUUCGAGACUUCUCAAACGCGACCUAUACCUUGAUAAGAAGGAGAACAAACCCUAAGACAAGAAAAAUUCACAAGAUGUGUAGAGUGGGUGUCCAAGUUCAAAUCGCCAUCAGAGAAGGCAAGUCAUUGCAAUGAAG
Molecule: unclassified non-coding RNA, 341 nt
Filed under: Hevea brasiliensis (rubber tree)
Lineage: Eukaryota; Viridiplantae; Streptophyta; Magnoliopsida; Malpighiales; Euphorbiaceae
Source: RNAcentral